UCUUUCUUUCAAAACUGAAGUCAAAGAUAGC
This 31-nucleotide non-coding RNA is filed under the name Mus musculus (house mouse). Lineage: Eukaryota; Metazoa; Chordata; Mammalia; Rodentia; Muridae. The record is from RNAcentral.